UUCAGGCAAAUCUUGCAUAUCAGAGCUGCCGGGAUUCUGGUGCACUCUUUAAGGUGCUCCACCAGGUCAAUAAUGAGCUGCAUGACUUACUGGAUAGCCUGGAGAAUCAUACUCCUCUUGUCAGAAAAAACGCUGAUGAGUUGAUCGCGCUGUUACUGCUUUUCACUCGGCAGGUUGGUCAGUCCC
This 186-nucleotide ribosomal RNA is filed under the name Escherichia coli 6-537-08_S1_C3. RNAcentral's name for it is "partial 23S ribosomal RNA". Lineage: Bacteria; Pseudomonadati; Pseudomonadota; Gammaproteobacteria; Enterobacterales; Enterobacteriaceae. The record is from RNAcentral.